Long non-coding RNA from Anas platyrhynchos (mallard), 3180 nucleotides. RefSeq lists it as uncharacterized. The record is from RefSeq and is a predicted model, not a curated record. Lineage: Eukaryota; Metazoa; Chordata; Aves; Anseriformes; Anatidae.
CUAUAAAGGUACUCCCUUCCUUUAUUCCUUUAUUCAUUCAUUUAUUUAUUUUUUCUCUUUGGAAAGAGUUGAAGUGUUUACUUUGUUAAAGAUAUUUUAAUCUCCCACAAGAACAGAAUACAAAAGGUUACAGCUUAGAUUUUCUCUCAUGGAUUUGUGUGUGCAAUGUAAUACCAGCUUUUCGAAUUGACAAAUGGGUUUUCUACACACUUGCAUUCAGAAGACUCUUUUCUUUCCUACUCUGCCCAACAUACAGAUCUCAACAAAGUACUGGGAAAGGAUUUGACAAGAAGUAGGAACAGACUUUUCUCAAGACAAUGCAGCUAUAAACAAGAGUCAGGAAAACAGAUUAAUUUGGUGGUCAGAUAAUCUUUGAAAAUCCUUGGAUUGACUAUGGUGUAUAUCUGACUAUGUACUGGCAUUUGGAAAAGAAAUUGGAAAAUUAGAUUUUGGCUACAGUAUUUGUUUCUUUCUGUUUUUCCUUUAGUCUAAACACACAAAUCCAUAUAGUGCAGUAGAAAUUUAGCAGUCAUAUUAUGUAGUUAUCAACACCAGAAAACUUUUUAUGAUGAUGGUACAGCUUAAAAAAAUAAUCAAAAUCUACCAACACUUCCUUGCAGUGGAUUGUAUAUUCUAAAUGUAGCUGGUUCUCUGAUGCCACACCUUGAAGCUGUGAAUAAACCCUGAUACUUACAAACAGCAGACUAGAUUUAAGCUUUUUGGUAGAAAUAAUGAGCUAAACUUAUCUUCCUUAAAAUACUCUACGAAAAACAAUUUUGUCACAAGAGCCUGCCUAUGUAGGCUUUGCCCUCAAUAAAGUCCUGAUGCCUGUGGCUACAGAUUCACAGCACCUAAUUUUGGAAUGAAAGGAUGGGAGUAUCAGGACACUGCUUUCAAACAGAGUAUCAAGGGUUUAUUUUUCCCAGCACUAUGAGGCACAGGUCUUCUUGAUAGUCUCUUCUGGUGCCUGAGAAACACAAGAGAAGUUUUCACAGAAUGGCCAAGAUUUGAAGGGACCUCUAAAGAGAGGUCCCUUCAAACCUUUGCACAGGAUGGCAUCCAGGGAGGUUUUGAAUAUUUCCAGAGAAGGAGACUCCACAGCCUGUUCUAGUUCAACUAGGUCAACCUGUUCUAGUCCUCUGUCACCCUCACAGUAAAGUGCCCUCUCAUUUUCAGCUGGAACUUCCUGUGUUUCAGUUUGUGCCCGUUGCCUUUAAUUCUGUUGCUAGGCACAACUGAAAAGAGUCUGGUUCCUCUUGACACCCUCCCUACAGAUAUCUAUACGUGUAUUGAUGAGAUGAAUAUCAUGCCUUACCUACCCAGGGCAGUAAAUUGUCUUCUCCAUACACAACCACAUGGUAGAUAUUAAAGACAAAACCAGCUCAGAGAGAUUUAAUUGACACUUGCAGAGCUGAGGGUUGCUGACCAAAGGUGAUGGGUGGCCAUGGCAAAGCUAGACCUCCUUUGGAAAAAAAAAAAAAAAAAAAAAAAGGAGCUGAGACAAAACUGCAAAACUGUAUUCUGAACUUUGUUUCUUGUUCCUCAUUAUGCAAGAGGAACAGUGGAACAGUGAGAGAUGAUCCCCAGCCACUAAAGAUGACUUCCAAGUUGUACAUUCUCAUUUAGGAAUAAUAGCACAAUCCUUUCCCCAGCAUCAGGUUCUUAUUUAGCUUUCCAAGGCUUUAGCUGAAACAAAAAUGGAGUGUCAAAAUGGCAGCUGAGCCUGCUUUCUAAUAGACGAUGCUUGAUAAUGUCUGUUUUGCCUGUGCCUAAAGACUGAACAGACAAUCAAAAUGGUGCAUAGGAACAAAAGUGCUACCUCAGGCUGCCUGCACUCUGUGCUCUUCUUCCAUUUCUCAUGCCAUGGAUGAGCACCACAACAUGGAAAGCCUUCUUGCAUACAAACACACUUCAACAGUGAGGAUUGCCUUGAUAGAAUUCCCUUCAGGGUCACACAAACAAGGAGAUGCUGUCUUUCCAUUGAUCCUAAGCAAAGGUAUAAUAAGGUUGGAGGAUCUAGUUCUUUACAUUGUAAAGCCUUUUCAAGUGCUGACUUUGAUAUAUCUGUGCUCUCUGUAGUUGUGUGUGGAUUUGUCGUUCUCUACAAAUAAUAAUAGAAUAUGGCAGUACAAAUAUUUGAUUAAUUUUGCAUUCAGUGUGAUUUAAGGGCACCAUUACAUACUCAGAUGUUAAUUCUGCACACUGGUUUUUUUUUGUUUUGUUUUGUUUUUUAUUAUUAUUAUUUAUUUAUUAGAAUUUGCCAGCUGUAAUGCACUAGAAACAAUCAUUCCAGAAAUGUAUAUAGGCUAUAUGUUCUAAAUCAAAGUGAAUUUUAGCUUAUCUAUAAGGCAACACAUUAAUUAUACUGAGUACCAUUUUAAAUUUAGUAUCAUUUUUCAAUUAUUUUAUAAUAUUAUUUCGCAUUAAUUCCUUUUCUAAUUUGCAAGAGCUAUGUUUUUGCAAUACUUAGGUUUAGCAAAUGUUGAUUUCUCAAAGUUGCUUCAAGUGACUGUUGAUGUUAUCCUAGGCAGGUACAUGUAUUCUGAAUAAAACACAAGGAAGGAGGAAUGAGUUUCACCUUCCUCAGGAACCAAGAAUUUCAAGCAUUUGUUCUGAUUUUUGGCUGUUAUUGGUAGCUAAGCUCCAAUAUUUUCUUCUUUGUCUACUUGUCUACUUAAGUGUCCAGAGUAAACACAGCAUGAUAAAAAUUAAUAUAUUGUGAGUUUGGAAAAAGUAACACUCCUCACUUUUCAUUAUCACUUUUGUUAUCAUGCCAAUGCCGUGAUGUAUCUGCAUUUGAUAAUUAUGUAAUUACAAAUAUAUAUUUUUUUAUUUAUAUAUUGCCAAUAAGUGUGGUAAAAUCCAAUGGUUAUCUUUCCCAUUUUCAAUAAUUCAUCUGACAUUGUAGAAGAUCCUGUACUUGUUUGAAUUGUUCUUGGUUGGAUUUUUCUCAACUCUAUAUCCAACAGAUCAAAGCUAAACUGAUUUCUGCAAGCCAUGUGAUCAGAAUAAGCUAUGAAAAGAUAAUAUAGAUAUAUUUUAAAAAGCAAUGACUUUUUCAAAGGCAGAAAAUUAAAAUAAAUAAAUAAAUAAAAUAUCCUAUUCAUAAUUUAGUCUUAGACUGAUCCCUGAACCUAGGAAGGGACCUAUGCCCUUGGUUCUUCAGAUUUUGCUUUUGCU